CGUCCUUCAGGGAAGGGUUUCUGCAAUUUCAAAAUGACCCGUCGCAGAGUCGGCGGAAUGUCAAAGUCAGAAACCCUACCGUUUCAGGUCCGUCCAUGGCGAAAUUGAGCUUGGGCGACCAAGCUUUCUUUCUCAUGGCCUUCAUCGCCUGCACGACUUCAGUGGCAUUUACGAGCCUUGUAAUUGUAGCUCUCCCGACAUGUGCAAUAGGGAGUGCUGCAACAUCUCUUUCAAAGCUAGCAGAUACAGGUCGUCAAGAACGCCCUAGUACUAUGGCUGCCAUUAGGCUCUUAGGAAUGGAAAUAAGUGAUCUCACACUGGAAUUGAAUGACCUAAGGUGAUCAUUUUAUCUUACUUUUUUGACUAUAUAUGUUGUACAAUGGUUAAUUGAUCAACCAUUCAACCUUUUCGCAUUAAUUAUAGCCCUCUUUAUCAUGCAAGUCAUCCUCUUCCUAUGGAGCACCUAACAAUUUAUAGUUUUAUAAGAUGGAUGACUUUACUUGUUCAUGCAUUCAUUAUGCAAUGAGAUCUGUAAGGGGAAGAUCAUUGAGUCUAAUCAUUUUUUUUCUUUUUCCUUUUUCUUAUUGUCUUCUAAAGUAUUUAUUAUAAAUGGUAAUCUAUUGUAAUUCUCCCACAUAUAUACUACAUCAGGUUUUACAUGAGGAAUUACUUCCAAAGGCAAUUGGUCAUCAGUUAUCUAUGUCAAAACUUUCUAACUCCCAGUCCCAUAGGCUUACCAUCAACAAGUAUUCUGCUCUUGAAACCGCUAGGAAGCUUCUAUGGUCUAAGCAGUCAUGGAUAGGUGCCAACUUUUUUUGGACUUCUGCAGAAACUGCCCUGCAGCACAGCUCUCUUUGGUAUUUGUUUUACCCUACUUAAUGAUCUUUAAAUGUACUGAAAUUUUGACAUGUUUCUGUUUUGUUAGUUAAAAAAGGAUCUGGAAAGUUUCAUCUUAUUCCGAAGCAAAGUGAAUUUUCAGUGAUUCUUCCA
Rosa chinensis is the source of this 990-nucleotide long non-coding RNA. RefSeq lists it as uncharacterized. The transcript is spliced from 4 exons. The record is from RefSeq and is a predicted model, not a curated record. NCBI's taxonomy places the organism in Eukaryota, Viridiplantae, Streptophyta, Magnoliopsida, Rosales, Rosaceae.